GACGAACGCUGGCGGCGUGCUUAACACAUGCAAGUCGAACGGAAAGGCCCUGCUUUUGUGGGGUGCUCGAGUGGCGAACGGGUGAGUAACACGUGAGUAACCUGCCCUUGACUUUGGGAUAACUUCAGGAGACUGGGGCUAAUACCGGAUAGGAGCUCCUGCUGCAUGGUGGGGGUUGGAAAGUUUCGGCGGUUGGGGAUGGACUCGCGGCUUAUCAGCUUGUUGGGGGGGUAGUGGCUUACCAAGGCUUUGACGGGUAGCCGGCCUGAGAGGGUGACCGGCCACAUUGGGACUGAGAUACGGCCCAGACUCCUACGGGAGGCAGCAGUGGGGAAUAUUGCACAAUGGGCGGAAGCCUGAUGCAGCAACGCCGCGUGCGGGAUGACGGCCUUCGGGUUGUAAACCGCUUUCGCCUGUGACGAAGCGUGAGUGACGGUAAUGGGUAAAGAAGCACCAGCUAACUACGUG
This 468-nucleotide ribosomal RNA is filed under the name uncultured bacterium. Its description in RNAcentral is "partial 16S ribosomal RNA". It matches the Rfam family "Bacterial small subunit ribosomal RNA", at positions 28 to 507 of the family's 1533-position model. The record is from RNAcentral.